UCAGAAUGGAACAAGUUAGACCAGUUCGACUUGGCGCGUUGGCGGUGACAACAAAAAGGAAUACGAAUACUUGCUGGACAUUUUAAAGAAACAUGUCACAUUGUGUACAGACAUUUCUGCAUCACAGUCUGAAAACAUUGCAGACCAUAUCUUGAUUAUCUAUUCCACCUUCCAAGGAUUUAAGAGGCUUGAAGAAUAAUCUCACAUUUAGGCUAUGCCAUACAAAAAUUUCUUGAAACUUCUGCUGAUAACUGGUAUUGGUAUUUUAGAUUUAGCUUUCUUAGCUGUUGCAAGUUCUUAGCUCAUCUGGAGUGGCUAUAUUUUGGAUUCCUGCACAUAUGAAAUAAAGUGUGACUAUGGAAUGAAAACGUUGGCAUUGUCCUGCAUAUUUUAUUCUACAUCAUUGAAAAGAGAAAAGUGCUGGAUGAUUUUUUAGAAGGCUGGAAUUAUUAUGAGAAAAUCACGUUUAAAAACCACUCGAAAACUCAUCGUGCAAUGUAUGGACGUGCACAAGCGAAUAACCGGUUCUACUUAGAGUGA
This 540-nucleotide long non-coding RNA is filed under the name Daphnia magna. RNAcentral's name for it is "uncharacterized LOC116921793, transcript variant X1". The record is from RNAcentral. Lineage: Eukaryota; Metazoa; Arthropoda; Branchiopoda; Diplostraca; Daphniidae.